This 253-nucleotide ribosomal RNA is filed under the name uncultured bacterium. RNAcentral's name for it is "partial 16S ribosomal RNA". It matches the Rfam family "Bacterial small subunit ribosomal RNA", at positions 524 to 776 of the family's 1533-position model. The record is from RNAcentral.
UACGGGGGGGGCAAGCGUUGUUCGGAAUUACUGGGCGUAAAGGGCUCGUAGGUGGCCAACUAAGUCAGACGUGAAAUCCCUCAGCUUAACUGGGGAACUGCGUCUGAUACUGGAUGGCUUGAGUUUGGGAGAGGGAUGCGGAAUUCCAGGUGUAGCGGUGAAAUGCGUAGAUAUCUGGAGGAACACCGGUGGCGAAGGCAGCUCGCUGGGACGGUACUGACGCUGAGACGCGAAAGCGUGGGGAGCGAACAGG